GAGGCCGUUUUGUAUCCAUGAAAAGCGGCUCAUAACCGCUUGGUUGGGGGUUCGAGUCCCUCCGGGCCCACCA
This 73-nucleotide transfer RNA is filed under the name Aminobacter aminovorans. RNAcentral's name for it is "tRNA-Ser". It matches the Rfam family "tRNA". From Rfam's summary of the family: Transfer RNA (tRNA) molecules are approximately 80 nucleotides in length. The record is from RNAcentral. Lineage: Bacteria; Pseudomonadati; Pseudomonadota; Alphaproteobacteria; Hyphomicrobiales; Phyllobacteriaceae.